GAUAAUGUAAUGGAUGUAUAUAAUGAAGUAUAUCGGGGGAAAGUGGAUGUUCUUGUCACGUCUGUGGGUAUACCCUUAUUAAUCUGCUACCCUGGCAAUCCUUGGGACAUCUCUGAUGACCAGGCAGAAAGCCAGUGCCGUCGGAUGCAGGAAUUAGGGAUUUUACCUGAAACAACUCGAAAACGGCCUACAUGUGCAGGGAUAGAUGCUGACAGUACACCAGCCGCAGGUAAACCUCCGGUGAUCCGUUUUUUAUGGGGUAUGAAGUAAUAUGUUUGGUUUAUUCAACCCGUUAAAAACAAAAAAGGAUCAAUAUGUGCCCCCGUGUGGAUGAUAAUGGCGAGGAAAGUCAAGUUUUGGUCGGGGAUCCGAAAUCUCGACAAGAUUCAUCAGCAGCAACUAAUGGUAGCAUAAAGGAAGUUGAAGGAGGAUCUGUCGUAAACCAGGAUCUCGGUGGGUCAAGUGAAAUUGUAGUCAAUAAUUUAAACCCUGGAGCAGAUUUAAUUGUUGAUGCUUCUAGUGACAUUUAGAUCCACUCCUACAGUGGAUGGGGUUUCACCUUGAUUACUAUAGUCUUUAAUCAAGAUAAGUUUAAAGUACUGUAAUAUCAACCACACAAUUAGUCUAGUGAAACACUGAUUUCUUUGAGUAUUUUUUUGAAAAGUAAAAAAUACUGUUUUUUAGUUUUCUUGAAAA
Erigeron canadensis is the source of this 696-nucleotide long non-coding RNA. RefSeq lists it as uncharacterized. NCBI's taxonomy places the organism in Eukaryota, Viridiplantae, Streptophyta, Magnoliopsida, Asterales, Asteraceae. The transcript is spliced from 4 exons. The record is from RefSeq and is a predicted model, not a curated record.